This is a long non-coding RNA of Lampris incognitus (smalleye Pacific opah), 271 nucleotides long. RefSeq lists it as uncharacterized. Lineage: Eukaryota; Metazoa; Chordata; Actinopteri; Lampriformes; Lampridae. The record is from RefSeq and is a predicted model, not a curated record. The transcript has 3 exons.
GUUUUGAGGACUUGAUCACAGUUUGCAAAGAAAAAGUCAAGAAAGAAGAAUUUCUAAAGAUGAAGAAGAAACAAAGAGAAAACAAAAGGAAAAGUAUCUCGCAGUAUCAAGCGUUUACAUACGAAGAUGUCAAAACAACGAGCAGAAACCGCCGGGAGCCUCUUCAUGCUCAGCUCAUGCUCGGAGAUCCAGCGUGUGACCAGCCAUGCCAGGACGGAUAUCCCCCCUGUCAUCUGCGUGACGCCUUACCGAUACUGGCACCGCGUUAAAC